CACGUAGGGGGCGAGCGUUGUCCGGAUUUAUUGGGCGUAAAGAGCUCGUAGGCGGCUCGGUAAGUCGGGUGUGAAAACUCGGGGCUCAACCCCGAGACGCCACUCGAUACCGCUGUGGCUUGAGUCCGGUAGGGGAGCGUGGAAUUCCUGGUGUAGCGGUGAAAUGCGCAGAUAUCAGGAGGAACACCGGUGGCGAAGGCGGCGCUCUGGGCCGGUACUGACGCUGAGGAGCGAAAGCGUGGGGAGCAAACAGG
This 254-nucleotide ribosomal RNA is filed under the name uncultured bacterium. Its description in RNAcentral is "partial 16S ribosomal RNA". It matches the Rfam family "Bacterial small subunit ribosomal RNA", at positions 524 to 776 of the family's 1533-position model. The record is from RNAcentral.